Molecule: long non-coding RNA, 1949 nt
Filed under: Marmota monax (woodchuck)
Lineage: Eukaryota; Metazoa; Chordata; Mammalia; Rodentia; Sciuridae
Source: RNAcentral
UGGGGCAGGAAAAUCUUCCUCCAUUUCUUCCUACCGCUGCACACUUCAGUUCUCUUUAGGGCCCCCCACCCCCACCCCGGUGUACCGCUCAGUCUCCAUGUAAAAGAGCCAUCGUGCCUCGCGCAGCAACAGGCAGCCUGAGGGUGCCCAAGGAUGUCGCAGCAGCGGCCAUUGCCAGCUUCUCUGUGUGCUGCUGAGCCUGACAACUUGGCCUGCUGUGCUGGGGUGAAGUGCAAACGUCGGCUCUGCUCACAGAGUCCUGCCCAGCGUGGCCACAGGGCUCUGGCCACACAGCCUGGCUCACUGUCCUGUUCUGCAUGGAUCCUGGAACUUCACCGGCCCUUCUGCCUGGAGUCUGUUUCUGGCUUCAUGUGGUGGAGACCCUGCAGGCUGUGACCCCCAAGCUCCUGGAGUGACCCGUCCCCUUCCCUGUCCCCCCACCAUCCCACCAGCAGCAGGCGUCUCAUACUGUGGCAGUUUCCUAGUCCUCCUCAUACACACACCCCUGCCUGGAAACUUCCAGAGGGCAGGAAGCCCUCCAUCAAGGUCAGCAUUUUGUUCUAUGGUACCCAACUCCUGGUGGUGUGCGGGGAUUAUGCUGGAGAGGAGGAAAUCUGUUUUUUGUUGUUAAUUUGGUUUUGUUUUUGUACCAGGGAUUGAACUCAGCUUAACCACUGAGCCACAUACCUACUCCUUUUUAUUUUUAAGACAGGAUCUUUUUAAAAUUUAUUUAUUUAUUCGGAUUUGUUAGACAUGACAGCAGAAUGCAUUUCAAUUCCUAGUACACAUAUAGAGCACAAUAUUUCAUGUCUCUGGUUGUACACAAAGUAGAGUCACUCCAUUUGUGUCUUCAUACAUGUCUUUAGGGUAAUGAUGUCCAUCUCAUUCCACCAUAUUUCCUACCCCCCCCACUCCCUCCCUUCCCCUCCCUCCCCUUUGCCCUAUUGAAAGUUCCUCCAUUCUUCCCAUGCUCCCCCACCCAUCCGCAUUAUGAAUCAUCACAUUCGGCCUUUGGUUUGGGGGGGGAUUGGCUUACUUCACUUAGCAUGAUGUUCUCCAGCUCCAUCCAUUUACCUGCAAAUGCCAUGAUUUUAUUCUCUUUUAAUGCUGAAUAAUAUUCCAUUGUGUAUGUAUAUACCACAUUUUCUUUAUCCAUUCAUCUAUUGAAAGGCAUCUAGGUUGGUUCCACAAUUUAGCUAUUGUGAAUUGAGCUGCUAUAAACAUUGAUGUGGCUGUGACUCUGUAUAUGCUGUUUUUAAGUCCUGUGGAUAUAAACUGAGGAGUGGGAUAUCUGGGUCAAAUGGUGAUUCCAUUCCAAGUUUUCCAAAGAUUCUCCAUACUGCUUUCCAGAUUGGUUGCACCAAUUUGCAGUCCUACCAGCAAUGUAAGAGUCUGCCAUUUUCCCCCACAUCCUCACCAACACUUUUUGUUGUUUGUAGUCUUAAUAGCUGCCAUUCUGAGUUGAGUGAGAUGAAAUCUUAGUUUUGAUUUGCAUUUCUCUAAUUGCUAGAGAUGUUGAACCUUUUUUCCUAUAUUUGUUGAUUAAUUGUGUAUCAUCUUCUGAGAAGUGUCUGUUCAGUUUCUUGGCCCAUUUAUUGAUUGGGUUAUUUGAUUUUUUGGUGUUAAGUUUUUUGAGUUCUUUAUCUCCUGGAGAUUAGUGCUCUAUCUGAUGUGCAUGUGGUAAAAAUUUGCUCCCAUUCUGUAGGCUCUUUUCACCUCACUGAUUGUUUCUUUUGCUGAGAAGCUUUUUUGUUUGAAUCCAUCUCAUUUAGUGGUUCUUGAUUUUAUUUCUGUCUAUAUAGGAGUCUUAUUAAGGAAAUCAGGACCUAAUCCGACAAGAUGAAGAUUUGGCUCAGCGGUAGAGCACUCACCUGGCACGUGUGAGGCACUGAGCUUGAUCCUCAGCACCACAUAAAAUAAAUUAAUGAAUUAAAGGUAUUGUGUUCAAC